UCGCGUAAUGAUGACAUGACGAUUCGAGUCGCCGACCACUGCUUCCUUCUUUCUGAACACAUUGAAUGCUUGCCGAGGAGGUAAUCGCAUUGCUUUGAGCCGUGGCAUGAGCCGCUGAACGCUG
Molecule: small nucleolar RNA, 124 nt
Filed under: Oryza sativa (Asian cultivated rice)
Lineage: Eukaryota; Viridiplantae; Streptophyta; Magnoliopsida; Poales; Poaceae
Description: Z260 small nucleolar RNA
Source: RNAcentral